UGGGGAAUAUUGCACAAUGGGGGAAACCCUGAUGCAGCGACGCCGCGUGAGCGAAGAAGUAUUUCGGUAUGUAAAGCUCUAUCAGCAGGGAAGAAAAAAUGACGGUACCUGACUAAGAAGCACCGGCUAAAUACGUGCC
This 139-nucleotide ribosomal RNA is filed under the name uncultured bacterium. RNAcentral describes it as "partial 16S ribosomal RNA". It matches the Rfam family "Bacterial small subunit ribosomal RNA", at positions 355 to 509 of the family's 1533-position model. The record is from RNAcentral.